UACAGAGGUCCCAAGCGUUGUUCGGAUUCACUGGGCGUAAAGGGUGCGUAGGUGGUCAGGUAAGUCGGAUGUGAAAUCUCCGAGCUCAACUCGGAAACUGCAUUGGAAACUACCUGGCUCGAGGGUUGGAGGGGGGACUGGAAUGCUUGGUGUAGCAGUGAAAUGCGUAGAUAUCAAGCGGAACACCAGUGGCGAAGGCGAGUCCCUGGACAACUCCUGACACUGAUGCACGAAAGCGUGGGGAGCGAACCGG
This 253-nucleotide ribosomal RNA is filed under the name uncultured bacterium. RNAcentral's name for it is "partial 16S ribosomal RNA". It matches the Rfam family "Bacterial small subunit ribosomal RNA", at positions 524 to 776 of the family's 1533-position model. The record is from RNAcentral.